AUGAACGCUGGCGGCGUGCCUAAUCCAUGCAAGUCGAGCGAACAGACGAGGAGCUUGCUCCUCUGACGUUAGCGGCGGGCGGGUGAGUAACACGUGGAUAACCUACCUAUAAGACUGGGAUAACUUCGGGAAACCGGAGCUAAUACCGGAUAAUAUAUUGAACCGCAUGGUUCAAUAGUGAAAGACGGUUUUGCUGUCACUUAUAGAUGGAUCCGCGCCGCAUUAGCUAGUUGGUAAGGUAACGGCUUACCAAGGCGACGAUGCGUAGCCGACCUGAGAGGGUGAUCGGCCACACUGGAACUGAGACACGGUCCAGACUCCUACGGGAGGCAGCAGUAGGGAAUCUUCCGCAAUGGGCGAAAGCCUGACGGAGCAACGCCGCGUGAGUGAUGAAGGUCUUCGGAUCGUAAAACUCUGUUAUUAGGGAAGAACAAAUGUGUAAGUAACUAUGCACGUCUUGACGGUACCUAAUCAGAAAGCCACGGCUAACUACGUG
RNAcentral lists this ribosomal RNA (496 nucleotides) under uncultured bacterium. RNAcentral's name for it is "partial 16S ribosomal RNA". It matches the Rfam family "Bacterial small subunit ribosomal RNA", at positions 29 to 507 of the family's 1533-position model. The record is from RNAcentral.